RNAcentral lists this ribosomal RNA (254 nucleotides) under uncultured bacterium. RNAcentral's name for it is "partial 16S ribosomal RNA". It matches the Rfam family "Bacterial small subunit ribosomal RNA", at positions 524 to 777 of the family's 1533-position model. The record is from RNAcentral.
UACGAAGGGGGCUAGCGUUGUUCGGAUUUACUGGGCGUAAAGCGCACGUAGGCGGAUCGUUAAGUCGGGGGUGAAAUCCUGGAGCUCAACUCCAGAACUGCCUUCGAUACUGGCGAUCUUGAGUCCGGAAGAGGUGAGUGGAACUCCGAGUGUAGAGGUGAAAUUCGUAGAUAUUCGGAAGAACACCAGUGGCGAAGGCGGCUCACUGGCCCGGUACUGACGCUGAGGUGCGAAAGCGUGGGGAGCAAACAGGG